GACGAACGCUGGCGGCGCGCUUAACACAUGCAAGUCGAGCGAUGAAACUUUAACAGAACCCUUCGGGGCGAAGAUAAAGUGGAUUAGCGGCGGACGGGUGAGUAACACGUGAGUAACCUGCCUUAGACAUUGGGAUAGCCUCGGGAAACCGGGAUUAAUACCAAAUAAAAUCAUAAUGACACAUGUCAUAACGAUCAAAACUCCGGUGGUCUAAGAUGGACUCGCGUCCCAUUAGCUAGUUGAUAGAGUAAAAGCCUACCAAGGCGACGAUGGGUAGCCGGACUGAGAGGGGGAACGGCCACAUUGGAACUGAGAAACGGUCCAAACUCCUACGGGAGGCAGCAGUGGGGAAUAUUGCACAAUGGAGGGAACUCUGAUGCAGCGACGCCGCGUGAACGAAGAAGGCUUUCGAGUCGUAAAGUUCUUUUAUAUGGGAAGAUAAUGACGGUACCAUAAGAAAAAGCCCCGGCUAACUACGUG
Molecule: ribosomal RNA, 480 nt
Filed under: uncultured bacterium
Lineage: Bacteria
Description: partial 16S ribosomal RNA
Rfam family: Bacterial small subunit ribosomal RNA
Source: RNAcentral